ACAGGUAGAGAUUCCUGUACCAGUGCUAAUUGUUUAACCGAUGGGGUGACACAGAAGGAUAGGGAAUCGCACGAAUGGAAAUGUGCGGCCAAGCAGUGAGUGUGAGAAGUAGGCAAAUCCGCUUCUCGCGAAGCAUGAGCUGUGAUGGGGAAGGAAAUUAAGUACGGAAGUUCCUGAUUUCACGCUGUCAAGAAAAGCCUCUAGGAAGAGUAGUA
This 215-nucleotide ribosomal RNA is filed under the name Listeria monocytogenes. RNAcentral's name for it is "partial 23S ribosomal RNA". It matches the Rfam family "Bacterial large subunit ribosomal RNA", at positions 1422 to 1637 of the family's 2925-position model. The record is from RNAcentral. Lineage: Bacteria; Bacillati; Bacillota; Bacilli; Caryophanales; Listeriaceae.